Molecule: non-coding RNA, 120 nt
Organism: Mirounga angustirostris (Northern elephant seal)
Lineage: Eukaryota; Metazoa; Chordata; Mammalia; Carnivora; Phocidae
Product: small Cajal body-specific RNA 7
Exons: 1
Source: RefSeq, a predicted model, not a curated record
UGGAAAUGAUGAAAUAGAGAUAAUUGGGGGUUGAAUGUUGUAUGAUUGGAAAUUUUUAAUAUGUAUGUAAUUAAUCUAAGUUUUUUUUAAAAAGCAGAGCAUCAUAAAAUUACACUCCAG